GGGAGAUCUGGGUGGGAAAAGGUUGGUGAGGCCUGGCCAGGCAGGAGGUGGAGGUGUGGAGCCAGAGGAUGGAGUCGGUCGCUUUGCCGAGUAGCUGGAAUCAGCCGUGGAAACUUCCUGAGCCCUUUGUGUUCCAAGGUUCCAGGAGAGGAGUAAGUUCUCCUUCUGUCAUCUGAAAAACUGCACUUGAGCAGUGGAUUCAAGGCCCCUCAGGUCUGUAAACGUCCUAAUCCCCAGGACCUGUGAAGAGGUUACCUUCCACGGUGAAGAAACUGAUGGGCGAGCACCCUGGACUAUUCAGGAGGUCGGACAGUCCUCUGGGGGACACAGGAGGGCCAGCAUCAAGGGCAAAGGUGACCUGAUGAGAGGCAGAAGUUGGCACGAAGUGGCCGUGAGUCCGGGAACGUGGGUACCUCCAGAAGUCGGAGGAGGUGAGGAGCAGAGGCUCUUCUGGACCCUCCAGGAGGAACAAGACAUCUUGACACCUUGAUUUUAGCCCCUUAAGACUUGUUUUGAACUACUGGCCUCCAGAACUGUAAGGGAAUAAGUUUGGGUUGUUUUAAGUUAUGACAUUAGUGGUCAUUUGCUCAGCAGCUGUAGGAAACACACACAGUGAGCAC
Molecule: long non-coding RNA, 620 nt
Organism: Bos taurus (domestic cattle)
Lineage: Eukaryota; Metazoa; Chordata; Mammalia; Artiodactyla; Bovidae
Source: Ensembl